CUUGUCCAACGGGACAGCAUCGAUCACUCACCCGGGGAUGGGGACCUCUGCGGUCUAGGCUCAGGACACCAAAAAAGAUGUCGAGAUAAAAGGGAAAGAAGAGGUCAAAGUGGGCUGCUUUCCAAAACAUUUCUCUACCACGGUCCAAGAUUUGAACAAGUGGGAUCACAUUCUGCAUGUAAAAUUGCUCUAUGAAAUUAAAAUAUUUUAAAACAGAAGCAUAUUUAACGUACCAAUUUAAGCCAAAAAAUCUCUCUUAAUAACACUUGUUUUGUGCUGAACUCUUGUGAGAAGUGAGAAGAAACAGAAAGUAGAAAUUUAUUUUAGCUGUGGAUAGUACAUCUUUGCCUAAAGCGUAAUUGAGUAAAAAAUGCCUAGAAUUCAUAACUAGAAAUGUUUGUCUCCUCAAUGUCAAAAAAUUCCUUCUAAAAUAACAGAUUUGACACUAAAGUUUAAGAAUAAACUUUUAAAAAGACAUUUAAGUAUGCAUACCCUGAUAAGCUUAUCCUGACUCGCUUCCAUAAUCCCGUAUCUACACAGUUCCUUCCCUUGAACGCAGUAGCUGGCCUUCAGUUGGCCCAGGUAUCAUGCUUCUGAUUCAGGAGACCCUGCCAAAGAACUCCACCUCACAGCACAAUCACCUCGGGCUCAGAAUUAAGUUGCUAACUACCUAUGUAUCAGAGUGCAAUUCCUUUUAAAUAGCCCUUUCCCUUUCUUCUCCUUCUCCUACACUUAAAAAAAAAAAAAAAAAAAUCUGUCAGUGUAAUAGUUCCUGGGAGAACGCUAAGCAUGAGGUUGAUGAACAGAAAGGCACAGAAACACCACCCGCAUGCAAAAGUUAUCUGAACGGCAGAGAUAAUUGCUAAAGUAAUUAUUUUGAUAGAAGCCAGCUGAAAGCUUCUGUAGUGUAUUUUACUAUUCCCGUUAAGGGUAAACUAUCCAUUUCAGAUAUAUGCUAUCCACGAACAUAUUUACUGGAUGACAUAUUGUUUUCAAUUUCUUUUUGGAAAAAUAAUCAUAUCAAAAAGCAGGGACUUAAAGAGGACAGCCAGCUAAAUAUAUUUUUAACACAUACUUCUGAUUAUUGUACUAUCAUCUUAUAAAUGAGUGGCACUAUGUGAUCUUAUGAAGCAGUAUCUCCAGUCUAUAAAAUAACGCUGCAUUUAUAGCAAAGAGAAAAAACAUAAAGGAUAUUCUGGACUAUUCUAUGGUUAGCAUCAGCUUCAGCUCCUUGAAAUGGGUGGAAUUGAUGGACAAUGGAAUAGAAUGUAGUAUAACUACAGUAGCCUUGAGCAAAGACACAAUUAUAGCUGAAAAGCAUCUUAGAUGCCUGACUGUUGCUAGCAUCAUGGUAUAAAUCAACAGUUGCUUCUUUCCUUUUCCUCUGCAGCUUCCUCCCCUCCAAACUCAAAACACAGAAUCUUCCAGUAUCAAAAACUUAGUAAAAGGUCAUUUUGUUUUCCUCAAUACUAUAAAAAUAGCAUAACUGGAUCUGACAUCCAUAUGUAAAUCAGCUCAAGAAAACACUGAUUUUCCUUCACACUGAAUUAUUGUAUCUGUAUGAAAUGUUGAUACAAACAACAUAACAAACAAAAAAUACCAUCUCUGUGGUUUAAUCCCAAGAUGAAAUAAGAAACAUAGACAUAUUGAACAUGGUUACUGUCUCUUGGCACCAUCACUAAAGCAAACCAGUUCCUUAACUGAUAAGUACAUAAUUUAAUUAUGUUAAGAGUUAGGAAUGCUAACAUUCACUUGCAAGAAAAGGGAUUUAUAAAAUAUACAACAAGGUGUCAGAGAAUAUAUUGAUUAUUGAUAACUUAUUUAUACCGAUAUUUAACACAAAACAAAUGGGAGUAUGUCUCUACGAGACUGAGAAAGAACAAAGGAGACAUUAUUUAAAUGGUAGUGAUGUAAAUGGAAGUGCAGGUAGACCUAGCACUUCACGGUCCUCAAAAAGGUGUCAUAAGUCAAAGCGAUAAAAGUUGAAUUUGGUUUCACCCUAGAAAUAAUCUUAGCUUGCUAGAUUACAUUCCAGAUGAUUUCAUGCCCUGAAUUUUUUUAAAAAAAGAUAUGACCACAAGUAACAUGUUUAAUCAAAUAUUUAACGAACCUGCAUACUGAAUAGUAUGAAGCUUCCUGACGCACAACACAUUGACUGUGGAGGCAGCAUGGCUUAAGAGAAAGAGCUCUGGACUGUUACCCAGAAAACCGGCCUCUUGUCUUAAUCAUACGACACUGCUGGGAAACUUGAAGAGGGUCCAUAAUCUAGCCUAAGUCUCUGUGUCCUCAUCAAUGAAAAUGGCAGGGUUGGAGCAGAUGAUCUCUAAAAACCACUGUGACCUGAAAAUGUUCUCUGAGCCCCUCGAAGGUCAGAAGCACAAUGCCAUGUACAGGGCACAGAUGGAAGAGAGGGUGGUAAUGCUUCUCAAGGAGAAGAAUGGAGCCUCCCUGAAUCUAAACAGAUUUCAAAAGGCACAGGAAGAGGAAAGACGCUGAGAAGAGGAACUACAUAAGGGGAGGCAUGGCCACCAGAGACUGUGUGGCACUUGGAAACAGAGAAGUGCCCUGCUGCCAUCCCAGAGUGAACGUUGCAUUUGCUUUUGUUAUAACAGGACCACUCUUGAGGCCAGAUAUAUGCUUAAUGCAAGCGUAUUUUAUAGAGAAUAAAUACUAUUUUCUCAGGUUUAAAAGAACAAACCUGAUGGUCCUAGCCAAGAGGCCAAUUGACGAUUUACAUUCAUAUCAUAAGCCUGUAAGCCACACUCUCCGUGUCUAUAUAGGCUAUAGUCUGGGUAGCACCUGUAACAAUGCUUGGCACACACUUGGUGAAUAUUUGUUGAAUAAAUAAAAGAAAAAAUAUAGAAAAGCAUAUACAAUUAUCUUUAAUAUGACUCAGUGUCAUGUAGUACAACACAGUACCUUACUUCAUCAUUCCUGCCAUGGUCUUUUGUUUGUUUGUUUUGUAUUUUUUAUAGUAUCACUAAAGGGGAAGGCAGCUCCUUAAGGUCUAUAGUGAUCACAAUCUUCUGGUAACCUAUUGGAGCAAAAUAAAUGCUUUCUGAGAAAUCAGGAGUUUUGCUUCACCAAGCUCUUAUUUCAGUGUAAAUUUCUUCCUAAAAAGGAAAGCCUCAGAGACCAGUUUUGCAUCUCUCAACUGGCUCUGAGAGUCUGUCAGCUUUUUCAGGCCACCAUCUCAUCGAAACCAGCAGCUUCCCCCUGCACUCUGAAGUCACACCAGGCACAACCCCUGUCUCCUGGAGAGAAUACAGGUCACUCCUCCAACUCUUCCUUCUCAACACCAAAAGCCUCAAGGGUUUGGCUUGAAUCAUGGCCAAACGCCAUAUGAGUUGUAGCUACUUAUUUGCUUGUUCAUUACACUUUAAGUUGAUUUGUAAGGUUAUCCUAUAUGGAAAUUAACACGCACCCCCGACGUCAAAACUCUCAUUUGAUUUCAAAUACCCAAUAGCAAGUCUUUUCAUUUCAGCCAAAGGUCCUACAGCAUUCAAAUGAUGACAGCAGCUCUUAGAAGUGCACUGUGACUUCCUCUUAUCAGUCAUUUAAGAACUGAAUACACUAUGUAACUAUGAAAUGAGAAAUUACGUUGUAAACAAGAUAGAACCAGAAGCCUUGAAGAAAG
Molecule: long non-coding RNA, 3637 nt
Filed under: Homo sapiens (human)
Lineage: Eukaryota; Metazoa; Chordata; Mammalia; Primates; Hominidae
Description: HSALNT0395151
Source: RNAcentral